CCUACGGGUGGCAGCAGUGGGGAAUAUUGGACAAUGGGGGCAACCCUGAUCCAGCCAUGCCGCGUGUGUGAAGAAGGCCCUCGGGUUGUAAAGCACUUUCAGUGAGGAAGAACGCCUGGUGGUUAAUACCCAUCAGGAAAGACAUCACUCACAGAAGAAGCACCGGCUAACUCCGUGCCAGCAGCCGCGGUAAUACGGAGGGUGCGAGCGUUAAUCGGAAUUACUGGGCGUAAAGCGCGCGUAGGUGGCUUGAUAAGCCGGUUGUGAAAGCCCCGGGCUCAACCUGGGAACGGCAUCCGGAACUGUCAAGCUAGAGUGCAGGAGAGGAAGGUAGAAUUCCCGGUGUAGCGGUGAAAUGCGUAGAGAUCGGGAGGAAUACCAGUGGCGAAGGCGGCCUUCUGGACUGAAACUGACACUGAGGUGCGAAAGCGUGGGUAGCAAACAGGAUUAGAUACCCCAGUAGUC
Molecule: ribosomal RNA, 465 nt
Filed under: Vreelandella stevensii
Lineage: Bacteria; Pseudomonadati; Pseudomonadota; Gammaproteobacteria; Oceanospirillales; Halomonadaceae
Description: partial 16S ribosomal RNA
Rfam family: Bacterial small subunit ribosomal RNA
Source: RNAcentral